Molecule: small nuclear RNA, 31 nt
Filed under: Cervus elaphus hippelaphus
Lineage: Eukaryota; Metazoa; Chordata; Mammalia; Artiodactyla; Cervidae
Source: RNAcentral
GCUUCUCAGCCUUUUGGCUAAGAUCAAGUGU